This 111-nucleotide ribosomal RNA is filed under the name Caerostris darwini. Lineage: Eukaryota; Metazoa; Arthropoda; Arachnida; Araneae; Araneidae. The record is from RNAcentral.
ACAGCCAUACCAUGGUGAAUAUACCGGUUCUCGUUAGAUAACCGAAGUCAAGCAUCAUUGCGCGUGGUCAGUACUUGGGUGGGUGACCACCUGGGAACACCGUGUGCCGUU